Molecule: ribosomal RNA, 467 nt
Filed under: uncultured bacterium
Lineage: Bacteria
Description: bacterial SSU rRNA
Rfam family: Bacterial small subunit ribosomal RNA
Source: RNAcentral
UAGGGAAUAUUGGACAAUGGGUGAGAGCCUGAUCCAGCCAUGCCGCGUGCAGGAAGAAGGCGUUAUGCGUUGUAAACUGCUUUUUGCCAGGGGAUAAAAUGAGCAUGCGUGCUUAAUUGAAGGUACCUGGUGAAUAAGCCACGGCUAACUACGUGCCAGCAGCCGCGGUAAUACGUAGGUGGCAAGCGUUGUCCGGAUUUAUUGGGUUUAAAGGGUGCGUAGGUGGCUAACUAAGUCAGUGGUGAAAUAUCUCAGCUUAACUGAGAGGGUGCCAUUGAUACUGGAUAGCUUGAGUACAGAUGAGGUAGGCGGAAUUGACGGUGUAGCGGUGAAAUGCAUAGAUAUCGUCAAGAACACCGAUAGCGAAGGCAGCUUACCAAGCUGUAACUGACACUGAGGCACGAAAGUGUGGGGAUCAAACAGGAUUAGAUACCCCCGUAGUCCCUGAGCGGGCUGGCAAGGCGCAU